UACGGAGGAUCCGAGCGUUAUCCGGAAUUAUUGGGUUUAAAGGGUUCGUAGGCGGUUGAGUAAGUCAGUGGUGAAAUCUUAUAGCUUAACUAUAAAAUUGCCGUUGAUACUGCUUGACUUGAAUAGUAUGGAAGUAAUUAGAAUAUGUAGUGUAGCGGUGAAAUGCUUAGAUAUUACAUGGAAUACCAAUUGCGAAGGCAGAUUACUACGUACUUAUUGACGCUGAUGAACGAAAGCGUGGGUAGCGAACAGG
This 253-nucleotide ribosomal RNA is filed under the name uncultured Myroides sp. Its description in RNAcentral is "partial 16S ribosomal RNA". It matches the Rfam family "Bacterial small subunit ribosomal RNA", at positions 524 to 776 of the family's 1533-position model. Lineage: Bacteria; Pseudomonadati; Bacteroidota; Flavobacteriia; Flavobacteriales; Flavobacteriaceae. The record is from RNAcentral. RNAcentral also lists the same sequence under 1 other name.